This 827-nucleotide ribosomal RNA is filed under the name Triticum aestivum (bread wheat). RNAcentral's name for it is "partial small subunit ribosomal RNA". Lineage: Eukaryota; Viridiplantae; Streptophyta; Magnoliopsida; Poales; Poaceae. The record is from RNAcentral.
CUAGUGGAGCAGUAUUAGUUACUCUGAAUUGAUCGCCAGUGGACGCUGGACCUUACGCUGCCCGUUGAUUGGCUCGCCGUGGCUAUAAACACCAGGCUCCGGUGUCCAGGGGAAGCACUCAGCCGGCCAUCCAUCAUCCCUCCCACUGAAUACCAGCACGAUAGGUGCCAGCCAUGGCGAGGCGCCGCCACUCUUCCUCUGGUCUCCUAUGCGUCCUCUUCCUCCUGAUCACUGCUGCCAUGGCAGCGGACGGUGCAGGAGCGCGACAGCGGAAAUUGCAGCAAGUGCCAGGGCCACAGCCGCUGCCACUACCAAACCCACGCCCACAGCCGGGGCCACAGCCCGUGCCACUACCGAUUCCGAACCCGCAGCCUGACCCGAACCCACAACCUUUGCCGAACCCAGACCCAAACCCGCAGCCACAACCAUUACCGCAGCCACAGCCGGACCCAAACCCGCAGCCACAGCCAUUACCGCAGCCUCUUCCACAACCACUGCCGGACCCAAACCCACAGCCACAGCCUUUACCACCACAGCCUCUGCCACAACCACUGCCGGGCCCAAACGCGCAACCGCUGCCAUUACCGCCGCCUCUGCCACUAUCACCGCCGGGCCCAAACGCGCAACCGAUGCCAUUACCGCCGCCUCUACCACUACCACCGCCGGGUCCAAACCCACAGCCACUGCCGCAACCGGAUGCCCCGGGCUCAUAUCCACAGGUACAACCGUUGCCAGACUCAAACACGCCCGGCCGACAAAAUAACGCACUACAGGGACCACUUGGAAAUGGUGCAGCCCCAGCCUUAUAUUCAUGCGGUGCAACCUAC